ACUCAAAUGAAUAGACGGGGGCCCGCACAAGCGGUGGAGCAUGUGGUUUAAUUCGACGCAACGCGAAGAACCUUACCUGGGCUUGAACUACUCGUGGUAGGUCGCUGGAAACAGUGACUGACCCGCAAGGGAGCGAGCAGAGGUGCUGCAUGGUUGUCGUCAGCUCGUGUCGUGAGAUGUUGGGUUAAGUCCCGCAACGAGCGCAACCCCUAUCCAAUGUUGCUAAUCCCGCAAGGGAUGCACUCUUUGGAAACUGCCUUCGAUAAGAAGGAGGAAGGUGGGGACGACGUCAAAUCCUCAUGGCCCUUAUGUCCAGGGCUACACACGUGCUACAAUGGUCGGUACAGCGGGAAGCAAUACCGUAAGGUGGAGCAAACCCCUAAAAGCCGGCCCCAGUUCAGAUUGUGGGCUGCAACCCGCCCACAUGAAGGCGGAAUCGCUAGUAAUCGCGAAUCAGCAGGUCGCGGUGAAUACGUUCCCGGGCCUUGCACACACCGCCCGU
RNAcentral lists this ribosomal RNA (502 nucleotides) under uncultured bacterium. RNAcentral describes it as "partial 16S ribosomal RNA". It matches the Rfam family "Bacterial small subunit ribosomal RNA", at positions 899 to 1397 of the family's 1533-position model. The record is from RNAcentral.